UGGGGAAUAUUGGACAAUGGGGGAAACCCUGAUCCAGCGACGCCGCGUGAGUGAAGAAGUAUUUCGGUAUGUAAAGCUCUAUCAGCAGGGAAGAAAAUGACGGUACCUGACUAAGAAGCCCCGGCUGACUACGUGCCAGCAGCCGCGGUAAUACGUAGGGGGCAAGCGUUAUCCGGAUUUACUGGGUGUAAAGGGAGCGCAGACGGCGAAGCAAGUCUGAAGUGAAAUGCAUGGGCUCAACCCAUGAAUUGCUUUGGAAACUGUUUGGCUUGAGUGUCGGAGGGGUAAGCGGAAUUCCUAGUGUAGCGGUGAAAUGCGUAGAUAUUAGGAGGAACACCGGAGGCGAAGGCGGCUUACUGGACGACAACUGACGUUGAGGCUCGAAGGCGUGGGGAGCAAACAGGAUUAGAUACCCUGGUAGUCCACGCAGUAAACGAUGAAUACUUGGUGUCGGGGAGGUAAACUCUUCGGUGCCGCAAGCAAACGCAUUAAGUAUUCCACCUGGGGAGUACGUUCGCAAGAAUG
Molecule: ribosomal RNA, 525 nt
Filed under: uncultured bacterium
Lineage: Bacteria
Description: bacterial SSU rRNA
Rfam family: Bacterial small subunit ribosomal RNA
Source: RNAcentral